UCCUUUUUACCUUGAAGGUUGCACCACAGAUCUCUUCUUCAUUUGCAGGAACAGCAGUCACCUUGUUCUUUGGGUUCUCAUAGCACUUCAAGCCUCCAAGAGCAUUGGAAUAGAAGCAACCUGCGGGAAAGGUGCAAGUGACUUGCCACAUGAUCCUUUAAGCAGGUCAAUGUCGUUAGAGAAGGCAACAGAUCCAUCAGCAGUUAUCCCCCAGAACAGAGGCACCUUGCCCCAGAGGCCACAAGGAGAGAAGAGGUGGACUUGUCGAAGAGCACAAAGGCGUAGCUGCCGGUGAGCUGCGAGAGCAUGAAGCUAGCAGGGUAAGGUGCUCUGUCUCUCAGCGUCUUGUACGCCUCGAUAACCAGGAGCACCUCAUUGGCGCCCUUGGACAGGCCAUACUGCUGGCUCAGCCUGCCCAGAUUGUCCAGGACUCCCUCAAACAGGCAGAAAAUUAGAAGCAGCAGCUAGUAUACCUUGGGCGGAGGAGGGAUUGGUUGGCGUGGGAGUAGGCGAGGUGGCCAAGGUCGCCGAGCUGCAGGGACACGGCCGGCUCGGCGGCGGCGAGGAAGCGGCCGACCAGCUCCGACGCCCGCGUCUUGGGCGACGGCGUCCGGCUGCCGGCGGCCACCAGCUCCGCCGGCACCUCCACCACCGCGCCGCUGAACACAGCCAACAUCCUC
This 680-nucleotide small RNA is filed under the name Oryza sativa Japonica Group (Japanese rice). Its description in RNAcentral is "sRNA Os11g0147901". Lineage: Eukaryota; Viridiplantae; Streptophyta; Magnoliopsida; Poales; Poaceae. The record is from RNAcentral.